UGACGACUCAAAUGCUGUAGGAGCAACGGCGUGGAUCUUCGGUUUUACGGGAGAUGACUCUAUUGAGAUGGAUUUCUUCACCAUGCUUUGGGUGUUUCAACACUGUCCGAAAAGCACUUGUCCGGCGCACUGCUCGCAAGAAUGUCCAUGAAAAAGCGAAGGAGGAAGAAACACGGUGGAGUUUAGCAACCUUGUGCCAUCGGAUAAAGCAAAGGAGUAGCAUGGAUGAAAUAUGAGUUAAUAAAGUUACUCUUUUCAUUCGUA
Long non-coding RNA from Rhipicephalus sanguineus (brown dog tick), 264 nucleotides. RefSeq lists it as uncharacterized. The transcript has 3 exons. The record is from RefSeq and is a predicted model, not a curated record. Lineage: Eukaryota; Metazoa; Arthropoda; Arachnida; Ixodida; Ixodidae.